CUCUAUGACGUAGGGACAAAGCUCUCUCAUUCGUCGCGGAUGGUCGAGUCACUCUACUCGUUUGCGUCAUAGUUCUGUGUGAUUGGCUGAGACUACUUGAGGCCUUUUCCUAGUCCCCGCCCUCGGGGAGCAGUUAGUUUAGAUUAAGCGAGAGGUCGUGGUGGAAAAGCCCCAGCCGGAAGGAAUUUGUGGCAGGGGAGGAGUGAAAGGCGGGGCGCAUGCGUACAUGGGGCCAAGGGGCUCCUGCGCCUCUUCCUUCACUAACGACGCCCGGGUCCUGAUGGGAAACUUUAGAUGACGUCAAUCUUUGUUCCUGUGGUAACCAGGAACCUGGGGGUGGGGACGCAGGUUGUGCUGGCAAACUGAUCCGUUGGCGCGGCAGCACUUGGGAGGCUGAGGCAGACAGAUUGCUGUGAGUUCGAGGCCAUCCUGAACUAUAUAGCGAGACCCUGUCUCAAAACAAAAACAAUGUCUGACGCUGGGCGUGGUGGCACAAGUCUGAUCCUAGCACUUGGAAGGCUGAGGCUGGAAGAGCAGGAGUUUGAGACCUACCCGGCCAAUUUAGGAAAACCCUGUCUCACUAAAAGGGGAUAGGGAAGUAACAGCGCUCUUUGGCUUGGCUUCCCAACUCUGGUGGCGGAAGAGACAGUGUCUGAACUGAGGGAACACCGUACAAAAUUAGAUGAAGAAAGCAUAAAUGGUGCACCAAUGAGACGUAAAAAGAAGAAAGCUGGCAAGCCUGUAAUCUCAGCACUCCAGAGGCUGAGGCAGGAGGUCUCAAGUUCCAGGCCAGCCUGGGCCACAUAGUCAAUUCAAGGCCAGCCUGAACUACAAAACAAGCUCUUGUCUCCAAAAAAAAAAAAAAAAAGGACAGGUAAAGGACCAAUAUUUAGUACUUACCUAGCAUCCAGUAAGCCUUAGGUUCCAACCCCAGCAUCACAAAACAAACAUACAAAAAAGCCAAUAUUUAUAACACAAGUCUUUUUUAAAAAAUUUUUUCUGUGAACAUUUUUGUAGUACCUAUUUGCAGUACAUGAUGAUUAUUUUCGUCGUGGAGUUGGUGCUCAUACAUCCUCUGCCAGAAAUUUUUUUGUUUUUGAGAUGGUCUCGUUAUGUAGUCUAGGCUGGCCUCAAACUCGAGGCAAUCCUCCUGCUUCAGUUUCCUGAGUACUGGGAUUACAGGCAUGCGCCACCAUACCAGAAGUCUUAAACGCUAAUUAGAAAAAGGUCUGUAAUCACAGCACCUCUGGAAGGCUUAGGCAGAAGGAUCCCAAGUUUGAACCUAGUCUGGGCAGUUUAGUAAC
This 1304-nucleotide long non-coding RNA is filed under the name Heterocephalus glaber (naked mole-rat). Its description in RNAcentral is "lncRNA (ENSHGLG00000036521.1)". Lineage: Eukaryota; Metazoa; Chordata; Mammalia; Rodentia; Bathyergidae. The record is from RNAcentral.